RNAcentral lists this ribosomal RNA (228 nucleotides) under uncultured Eubacteriales bacterium. Its description in RNAcentral is "uncultured Clostridiales bacterium partial 16S ribosomal RNA". It matches the Rfam family "Bacterial small subunit ribosomal RNA", at positions 105 to 334 of the family's 1533-position model. Lineage: Bacteria; Bacillati; Bacillota; Clostridia; Eubacteriales. The record is from RNAcentral.
GGUGAGUAACGCGUGAGUAACCUGCCUUACACAAGGGGAUAGCCGUUGGAAACGACGAAUAAUACCCUAUGAAACUAUCGCUUCGCAUGAAGCGAUAGUCAAAGUGUUAGCGGUGUAAGAUGGACUUGCGUCUGAUUAGCUAGUUGGUGAGAAAAAGCCCACCAAGGCAACGAUCAGUAGCCGGCUUGAGAGAGUGUACGGCCACAUUGGGACUGAGACACGGCCCAG